GACGAACGCUGACGGCGUGCUUAACACAUGCAAGUCGAAGGGAGUGGCGAACGGGUGAGUAACACGUGAGUAACCUGCCCUUUUCUUUGGGAUAAGCCUGGGAAACUGGGUCUAAUACUGGAUGGAUUGGGAUGGGCUCGCGGCUUAUCAGCUUGUUGGUGGGGUGAUGGCUUACCAAGGCUUUGACGGGUAGCCGGCCUGGGAGGGUGGUCGGUCACACUGGGACGGAGUUACGGCCCAGACUCCUACGGGAGGCAGCAAUGGGGGAUAUUGCACAAUGGACGAAAGUCUGAUGCAGCGACGUCGUGUGGGGGAUGAAGGCCUUCGGGUUGUAAACUCCUUUUGUUAGGGAAGCGGUACCUAACGAAUAAGCACCGGCUAACUCCGUGCCAGCAGCCGCGGUAAUAC
This 408-nucleotide ribosomal RNA is filed under the name uncultured bacterium. RNAcentral describes it as "partial 16S ribosomal RNA". It matches the Rfam family "Bacterial small subunit ribosomal RNA", at positions 28 to 526 of the family's 1533-position model. The record is from RNAcentral.